AAGAUCUCGGCUCCUGGAANGCACCGAGCUCCAAAGCUCAGGCGCUCAAGGAUGGAUCUGCGGCCUAUCAGGUAGUAGUGGGUGUAGAGUACCUACUAGCCUACGACGGGUACGGGUUGUGAGAGCAAGAGCCCGGAGAUGGAUUCUGAGACACGAAUCCAGGCCCUACGGGGUGCAGCAGGCGCGAAAACUUUACAAUGCCGGCAACGGCGAUAAGGGGACCUCGAGUGCCAGGUUACAAAUCUGGCUGUCGUGAUGCCUAAAAAGCAUUGCAUAGCAAGGGCCGGGCAAGACCGGUGCCAGCCGCCGCGGUAACACCGGCGGCUCGAGUGGUAACCGUUAUUAUUGGGUCUAAAGGGUCUGUAGCCGGCCGGAUAAGUCUCUUGGGAAAUCUGGCAGCUUAACUGUCAGGCUUUCAGGAGAUACUGUCUGGCUCGAGGCCGGGAGAGGUGAGAGGUACUUCAGGGGUAGGGGUGAAAUCUUGUAAUCCUUGAAGGACCACCAGUGGCGAAGGCGUCUCACCAGAACGGACCUGACGGCAAGGGACGAAAGCUAGGGGCACGAACCGGAUUAGAUACCCGGGUAGUCCUAGCCGUAAACGAUACUCGCUAGGUGUCGGCCACGGUGCGACCGUUGUCGGUGCCGUAGGGAAGCCGUGAAGCGAGCCACCUGGGAAGUACGGCCGCAAGGCUGAAACUUAAAGGAAUUGGCGGGGGAGCACCACAACGGGUGGAGCUUGCGGUUUAAUUGGAUUCAACCCCGGG
This 764-nucleotide ribosomal RNA is filed under the name uncultured Methanomicrobia archaeon. Its description in RNAcentral is "bacterial SSU rRNA". It matches the Rfam family "Archaeal small subunit ribosomal RNA", at positions 156 to 922 of the family's 1478-position model. The record is from RNAcentral. Lineage: Archaea; Methanobacteriati; Methanobacteriota; Methanomicrobia.